This 433-nucleotide ribosomal RNA is filed under the name uncultured bacterium. RNAcentral's name for it is "partial 16S ribosomal RNA". It matches the Rfam family "Bacterial small subunit ribosomal RNA", at positions 29 to 507 of the family's 1533-position model. The record is from RNAcentral.
AACGAACGCUGGCGGCAGGCUUAACACAUGCAAGUCGAACGCACCUUUCGGGGUGAGUGGCUGACGGGUGCGUAACGCGUGGGAAUCUACCCUUCUCUACGGGAUCUCUCCGGGAAACUGGAAUAAAUACCGUAUACGUCCUGAGGUAGCACGAUUUAUCGGGGAAGGAUGAGCCCGCGUUGGAUUAGCUAGUUGGUGCGGUAAAGGCCUACCUAGGCGACGAUCCAUAGCUGGUCUAAGAGGAUGAUCAGGCACAUUGGGACUGAGACACGGCGCGAACUACUACGGGAGGCAGCAAGGGGGAAGGUUGGACGAUGGGCGCAAGCCGGAGGCAGCCAUGCCGCGAGAGUGAUAAAGGCCGGAGGGUAGUAAAGCUCUUGCAGAGGGGGCAGGAUUGACGGUACCCACAGAAGAAGCCACGGCUAACUUCGUG